RNAcentral lists this ribosomal RNA (301 nucleotides) under uncultured bacterium. Its description in RNAcentral is "partial 16S ribosomal RNA". It matches the Rfam family "Bacterial small subunit ribosomal RNA", at positions 509 to 808 of the family's 1533-position model. The record is from RNAcentral.
CAGUCGCCGCGGUAAUACGUAGGUGGCAAGCGUUGUCCGGAAUUAUUGGGCGUAAAGGGCUCGCAGGCGGUUUCUUAAGUCUGAAGUUAAAGGCAUUGGCUCAACCAAUGUAUGCUUCGGAAACUGUUAGACUUGAGUGCAGAAGGGGAGAGUGGAAUUCCAUGUGUAGCGGUGAAAUGCGUAGAUAUAUGGAGGAACACCGGUGGCGAAAGCGGCUCUCUGGUCUGUCACUGACGCUGAGGCUCGAAAGCGUGGGUAGCGAACAGGAUUAGAUACCCGCGUAGUCCCUGUCUCUUAUACA